Molecule: long non-coding RNA, 1554 nt
Filed under: Sorghum bicolor (sorghum)
Lineage: Eukaryota; Viridiplantae; Streptophyta; Magnoliopsida; Poales; Poaceae
Description: long non-coding RNA (SBIC_LNC008921)
Source: RNAcentral
UUUGGAGACAAUGUUAGUUUCGGUGCAAGAUAGGUGCAUAGUUUGUGCCUAAUGCACCAUAGUCUAAGAAACCAUUUUUGAUACACCUGUUUGUACUCCUAGAUGAAGAGGCUCAAGUGGAAGCUCGGUUCGAUCUGUUUGGAGAUAGUGCUAAUCUUGAUGCAAGAUAGUUGCACAGUUUGCAUGAAACGUACCAUAUGUUAAGAUAUCAAUUUGGACGCACCCAAUGGAACUCCUAGAUGACGUGUGUCAUAUGGAAUCUCGCUUCGGUCUUUUUGGAGACAAUGUUAGUUUCGGUGCAAGAUAUGUGCAUAGUUUGUGCCUAAUGCACCAUAGUCUAAGAAACCUUUUUUGACGCACCUGUUUGUAGAUGAAGAGGAUCAAGUGGAAGCUCGGUUCGAUCUGUUUGGAGAUAGUGCUAAUGUUGAUGCAAGAUAGGUACACGGUUUGCAUGGAACAUACCAUAUGCUUGGAAAUCAAUUUGGAUGCACCCGAUGGAACUCCUAGAUGAUGUGUGUCAUAUGGAAUCUCUCUUUGGUUUGUUUAGAAACAGUGUUAGUUUCGGUGCAAGAUAUGUGCAUGGCUUGCGCCCAAUGCACAAUAGUCUAAGAAACCAUUUUGGAAGCACCUGUUGGUACUUCGUGAUGAGGACAUCAACACCAGCGAUACAUCCUCUCCUACAUCCUCUCCGACACAACCUAUAGCUGGUCCUACAUCUCCAUCCACCAAUCGAGUUAUCCCCGUCUCUCAUCAAAAGAUCAGGCCAAAAACCCUAGCGGGUUCGCAUCAGUUGGUAAUCAGAGCAAGGUUCUUCGGUGAGAGACUUCUAAUCCUUUGCUGUUUUUAAUUAAUUUCCUAUAGUCCAGAAAAGCCAAAAAAAAUAUAGUAGAUUAGUUUUUCCAUAAUCCUAUUAAACCUUUGUGCCUUGGCUAGUACCGUUUUAGUUAGAGCUUGUUGAAUUUGCGUUGCUUCGGUUUGUGUCGAGUUGCUGGUCUUAGUGUCUAGUCCUUUAGAGUUUUGAGUUCUUGUCACCAUCUAUACACAGCCGAGUAUUACCAUAUCUUCUCUCUGUCGAAUCUGUUGUGAAGUCUGAAUUGAACUGUGAUCCAAAAAGAAAGAUAACUCCAUACUUGUUCGGCCUUACUCUAGAGAGAGAGAGAGUGUGUGUGUGUGUGUGUAGCGAAUUGCUCUUUUGUAUUCCUUUGUUCAUAUAAUCAGUUUUUGAGGUUGCCCAAAAAAAGAAAAAAAAGAAAAAAAAGAAAAGAGAAAAGAUUCAAAAGAAAAAAAAGGGGCUGUUUUUCAUAUUGAUUUUAGAUUUCUUCCACCUUGUUUUCGGGGGUGUGCUGUGGUUUUCCUUUGUGUCCAGGCUCGCGUCUCUAGCACGGUCUAGCCUAGGACCAGCACAGUACCAUCGUCGAACGCUUAUUCAGCUCGCUUUUAUAACUAACGUGGUGCUAGUUCGUUCCUUGUUUCAGCCCACCUAUAGCUCCACAAACUCUACAGCUUGACAGGUCUUGUGCUGCAGCACCGAUACACUUCGUCCAUUGCUGUACA